AGAAUCAACGCUGGCGGCGUGCCUAACACAUGCAAGUCGAACGAGAAAGUGGAGCAAUCCGAUGAGUAAAGUGGGCGCACGGGUGAGUAACACGUGACUAACCUACCCCUCGAGUGGGGAAUAACUUCGGGAAACCGAGGCUAAUACCGCAUAAACCUAAGGGUCAAAGGAGCAAUCCGUUUGAGGAGGGGGUCGCGGUCAGAGUUAGGUUAGUUGGCGGGGUAAUGGCCCACCAAGACGAUGGAUCGGUAU
RNAcentral lists this ribosomal RNA (252 nucleotides) under uncultured bacterium. RNAcentral describes it as "partial small subunit ribosomal RNA". It matches the Rfam family "Bacterial small subunit ribosomal RNA", at positions 26 to 286 of the family's 1533-position model. The record is from RNAcentral.